Long non-coding RNA from Hippoglossus stenolepis (Pacific halibut), 1693 nucleotides. RefSeq lists it as uncharacterized. The record is from RefSeq and is a predicted model, not a curated record. Lineage: Eukaryota; Metazoa; Chordata; Actinopteri; Pleuronectiformes; Pleuronectidae. The transcript has 3 exons.
UGUGUUUUGUUUAGAGGAAAUAAAGCGUGAAGAGGAAGCGACGAUGCAGCAGGUGAAACGUCGGAGCUGAAGCCAGCAGCUCAGGAUUUGGAGUUCUACCAACACAAGAUUAGAUUAGAUUCAACUACCAACACAAAGACCACUGAAACACGGAGGUCCUGCUUGUUCCCUCGUUUCUCUGGAUGAUGUAACACCUGAUGUCUCCGCCCGUCUCUCACAGUUCAACAUUACGACACUUUGAUGUUCAAUAGAAGAUAAACAGAACGUGAUGGUCCGACGGUCAAGUCAGCACAUCAAACAUCAACAGCAUGGAAAUCGGUCAGCAGUCAGUAGAAACCUUCCUGGACCAUGAUGCAUCUGUCUCCAGGUCGAGAAACGUCAAGUCUGACCUGAAUCAGUCAUCCACCAACUCUUAAUACAAAUCCUGGACUGGAAAUAAAGAUCAUGACAGGUUCCUGAGGUGAAAGAAAAUGAUCCUGAUCGCUAUAAACAUAGGGGGAAACGUCAUGAUUGACAGCUGGAGCUGACUCUCGAUUGGUCGAGGAUCAACUGCAAAUGGCUUCUGCACAGAAUCAAGAUGGCAGCUCCAUUUCUGGACAGUGGGAGGAAGUGGAAACGUGUGGUCCACCUUUAUUUAGUCUCUGGGAACGACACAGCAAAGUGUCUCAAACUAGAUCCAGGGGCCCGAGAGCAGAGCCCUGGGGAACCCCACAGUGACAUUUCAUCUGAAAUUACCGCACACAAAAAUCUUCACGUAAAACACAAACCAGGUGAGAUCUAAAGAAGAGAGGUGGACAGAGCUGUGAGAUGCUGAUGUAACUUCUGGGUCUGAACUCAUACGAAGUCACGUUCCUCGACCACGAACAUCGUCCGAUGUUUCCUUCCCUGCACGCGAGCCAAUCACAGUCCAGACUGUUCUCUCCUGUGAUUUCAGUCUUUGUGGAGAAGUUGCAUCAGGAGACUCGUUUGACUCGUUUAUGUUUGACUCAUGUCAAACUGUAUCUUCGUUGUGGUGCAGAAAGGUCAUUAAUAGAGACGUUGACGUGACUUAGAUCAUCAGUAUGUGGAGACUUGUGUGUUUCUGUGUUGUGUAACUUUGAAUCACAGGUUGUGAAAUACAAAUCUGCACAACCUUCAACUAAUAGCACCUUGUAUAAUAGCAUCAGUCUUUUUGAGUACUUGAGUCUUGAAUUGAUAAUAUCCGUCCCAUCUUUAUUCCAAACUGUUCCUGACCCCACUGCGCAGCGCCCCCUUCAGGUCACAGUAGGUUCAGGCUCCCAUUGGAACGAUUUAAAACUUGAAUCUUCUUUUAGUGACGCCAUUACCUCGAUAAUUAAUUAAUGGCAGGUUACAAACGAAUAUUUAGCACAUGCAGGUUUCAAUGUGACAAAAUCAUUUAAGGUCAAAAUCAGACGAAUUGUCCGAACACUGUUUUAACAGCAUUUUUAAUUAAGUGUGAUUUACAAGAGACGUUGGUCAGGUUUGGUCAAAGAGGAAGAAAAGAGAAAUUACAAACAAACAUUUAAAAAUUAUAUGUUUUAUGUAUUUUAUAAUAUAAAAAUUGUAAUAUUAACAGACUUUAUUUAUGUCGCACUUUACAAAGUUACAAAGUGUUAAACAGACACCAAAUAAAAAAUGUAACAUGUCAAACUAUUGUUUAAUUUUAAACGUAAAGUUUUGAGUUUUUAAGACA